CUCCUCCCCUUGCGCCGGUCCGGCCGAGACCUCUCGGAGGGGUCGAUGUUUUCGGUCCCAGCUGGGGCUCGUCUCUCUGUCCACCCCACCGCCCGGUCCAGGUGCCCCAGAUGGUUCUGCUGGACGCAGAGAGGGCCUCCUACCUCUUCUUGAAGGCGCCAUGACAGUUCUAAUGCCUGGAAAAGACAAAAGGAGCGAAAGACAUAGCCUCAGUCCGAGAGGAGCGCCCCCACCCCAGCCCCCGCCUGCAUUAUUUUGGAACGAGACUGGUGUGCAGGACGCCAAUUCUCCGGAAAGCUUUUAAAAUUUACCUAACACUGAAAAUUAGUAGUUAACGCUUGGUGAUUGCUUAGCACUAUUUGCUUAAACUUUGUAAGAGGUUUUCACAGAUGUUAUUUCAUUUGAUCCUCAUAAGAACGAACUCAUUGAAAUUAUCAUUCAAUGGUAGUUGACAAAUGCAAAAACCUGAAUCAGAGGUAUUAAGCUAUUAACCGAAAGUUAAGUUGGUAAGAGCCAAGUCUAGAAUCCGAAACAGUAAAUUUCAUCAAAGGAGACUACGUUGAGAAGAUGUUUGGAAAGAAUUUAGAUUGGUUUCGAGUUAGUGGAAAGAAAAGAUGAUAAAUUCUUGGUGAGCUAUUAAUCUGCGAAAACUAAGCGCGGAGCCUUCAGGAUGGAAGUUCACUCUGCCCUUAGACGUGUAUGAUGGAGGGAAGAUGAUGAAUCAAUCAACAGAACUUGGAAAUGUCACAAUCACCAAAUUUUACUGUCAUUAAAGAGAAUCUCUAAUCCUGUUUCACUGGGAGAAAGGACAACUGGCAGAAACCCUCUCGUUUUCUCAUCAUCUCAAAAUACUCGUUUUUAAAACCAAUCUUUCGGCCGGGCGCGGUGGCUCACGCCCAGCACUUUGGGAGGCCGAGGUGGGCGGAUCACUUGAGGUCAGGAGUUCGAGACCAGCCUGCUCAAUGUAGUAAAACUCCGUCUCUACUAAAAAUACAAAAAUUAGCCGGGCGAGGUAGCACAUGUCUGUUCUCUCAAGCUGCUUGGGAGGCUGAGGCGGGAAGAUCACUUGAGCCCAGGAGGCAGAGGUUGCAGUAGGCCAAGACUGCACGACUACGCUCCAGCCUGGGCAACAGAGUGUGAGAAUCCGUCUC
RNAcentral lists this long non-coding RNA (1151 nucleotides) under Homo sapiens (human). RNAcentral describes it as "non-protein coding lnc-PPM1G-3:2". Lineage: Eukaryota; Metazoa; Chordata; Mammalia; Primates; Hominidae. The record is from RNAcentral.